RNAcentral lists this ribosomal RNA (421 nucleotides) under uncultured microorganism. Its description in RNAcentral is "bacterial SSU rRNA". It matches the Rfam family "Bacterial small subunit ribosomal RNA", at positions 9 to 429 of the family's 1533-position model. The record is from RNAcentral.
GAGUUUGAUCGUGGCUCAGAUUGAACGCUGGCGGCAUGCCUUACACAUGCAAGUCGAACGGCAGCAUGAUCUAGCUUGCUAGAUUGAUGGCGAGUGGCGAACGGGUGAGUAAUACAUCGGAACGUGCCCUGUAGUGGGGGAUAACUAGUCGAAAGAUUAGCUAAUACCGCAUACGACCUGAGGGUGAAAGUGGGGGACCGCAAGGCCUCAUGCUAUAGGAGCGGCCGAUGUCUGAUUAGCUAGUUGGUGGGGUAAAGGCCCACCAAGGCGACGAUCAGUAGCUGGUCUGAGAGGACGAUCAGCCACACUGGGACUGAGACACGGCCCAGACUCCUACGGGAGGCAGCAGUGGGGAAUUUGGACAAUGGGCGAAAGCCUGAUCCAGCAAUGCCGCGUGUGUGAAGAAGGCCUUCGGUGUAAG